CCUACGGGAGGCAGCAGUGAGGAAUAUUGGUCAAUGGCCGGAAGGCUGAACCAGCCAUGCCGCGUGAAGGUCAGUGCCCUAUGGGCGUUAAACUUCUUUUGUACGGGAGCAAUAAUGGUCACGUGUGGCCAGACUAGAGUACCGUACGAAUAAGCAUCGGCUAACUCCGUUCCAGCAGCGGCGGUAAUACGGGGGAUGCAAGCUUUAUCCGGAUUUAUUGGGUUUAAAGGGUGCGUAGGCUGUGAGGUAAGUCAGAGGUGAAAUGCCCCCGCUCAACGGGGUGAAGUGCCAUUGAUACUGCCUUGCUGGAAUGCGGAUGCCGUGGGAGGAAGGUGUGGUGUAGCGGUGAAAUGCAUAGAUAUCACACAGAACACCGAUUGCGAAGGCAUCUCACGAAUCCGCGAUUGACGCUGAUGCACGAAAGCGUGGGUAUCAAACAGGAUUAGAUACCCUGGUAGUC
This 460-nucleotide ribosomal RNA is filed under the name uncultured bacterium. RNAcentral's name for it is "partial 16S ribosomal RNA". It matches the Rfam family "Bacterial small subunit ribosomal RNA", at positions 338 to 795 of the family's 1533-position model. The record is from RNAcentral.